GGGUGUGAUCAUACCAGCACUAAUGCACCGGAUCCCAUCAGAACUCCGAAGUUAAGCGUGCUUGGGCGAGAGUAGUACUAGGAUGGGUGACCUCCUAGGAAGUCCUCGUGAUGCACCCC
Non-coding RNA from Nelumbo nucifera (sacred lotus), 119 nucleotides. The record is from Rfam. NCBI's taxonomy places the organism in Eukaryota, Viridiplantae, Streptophyta, Magnoliopsida, Proteales, Nelumbonaceae.